Molecule: long non-coding RNA, 4216 nt
Organism: Bombus pyrosoma
Lineage: Eukaryota; Metazoa; Arthropoda; Insecta; Hymenoptera; Apidae
Exons: 2
Source: RefSeq, a predicted model, not a curated record
UGAAUUUUUUCAAGAAAUAGAUACAUUUUUAAUACAUUUUAAAAUAGAUACAGUUACAAAGAUUUAUAAUAAGUGAUCAGAAUUUCCCCUAAAAACAGAUUGAUAAUAAAUCCUGGUAUUUCAUUAAUUUAAAAAAUUAUGAUUUUUCCCGGCCCUGUAAAUUUCUUCUAUCUUAGUUACGUGUGCAUCAUGCACAUGCGUACAAGUCAUUCUUAUUAGAUCAAGUAAAUCAUUAAAAAUAGCACUGUCCGUAUACAUUAGCAUCAUAUUAUCGCUAAACGAGAGUAAUUUCUUGAAAGAAAAAGAAGACAGCUAAUUAUCUUCAAACAUUAAAAUUAACUGAGUACUUGGAGGUAUUACACAUACACACUACGAUACAAAAGAUAAAAUAUCACAAUUCAACGAUAUACAUAUUAUCAGUAUUACAGAUCAAUAUAUUGAGCAAUAUUACAUGAAUAUGAUGUCUUCCAUCCUUAAGUUAUCAACAAUACACCGUAUUUAGAAAAUAGAUUGUUUCCUGCAAAAAUUUACAUAGUUUAUCAUGUCGUCAAUUAAGUUUACCGGUAAAUUUCAUGAGUGACGUAAGACGUAAGAGUAGAGAGAAGAAAAAAAAGAGGAAGUGUGGAAUUGGAAGGGCGACGUGUAACUAACAGUACGAAAAUAUAGGUCGAGACGACAUCGAAUAAAAGAUGCGGGCUACAUGUUCUUCAGGUAACGGCUGUGCCCCCCUCCUUUUAUAAAUUUCCCAAAAUCUGAAGCCAGUUUUGUAAUACAAAAAAUAAUCUCUUUAUUGUCGCUUGCAAUAACUAACAAACGAUGCUUUUCAAUUCUUUUGUAAAUAUAAAAUAAAGUGUUUUAUAUACUUGACAUUUGGUGUAACUUUUUAAAAAUUAAAAGCAUUAUACUUUAGUUAAAAACUCACUUUUCGUAAUUCUUACGAAAUAUAUUUCGAAGAAAUGAUUUCUUCAUGAGAGAGAUAUAUCGUUACAUUGUCGUUAUUGGCUAACAUAAAAUUUUAUUUAUUUAUUUUUAUUGACAAUUAAUUAUUUGCAAGUGUUUCAACAAGAAGCUAUAUAUAUCGUUACCUUGAAUAUUAACGAAGUACAGAGAUUUAUCGCUAUUUUUCUUGACGGUUGUUCGUACGAUUACAGUUCACGUGUGAAAUCGGUUCCAAACACUUUCAUAGUUUGUACAUUUAAUCACUACUUUAUCGAACACACUAUAUUAAAAGCUUACGCUGUCUAUGACAGACAAUUCAUAUUUUUCCCUUUUUUAGAAUUCGUGAAUCUAUCUACGUCAAUUAGAUUGUUGUACAAUUUAAAAAGUAGCUAUAGAUGAUCGAAAGAUACGGGGAACGCGCGACGCACCGUCGAAAUUGUAGGGAACACAGCGCGAACAAUACUGGUGACUUUCCUACUACACAUGAUGUAGCUUGAAGAUGUUGCGUGAACGCCGUACAAGUGUUAUCCCUACUUACAUCGCUGUACAACGGUUGAGUCACUGUACGAAAAACAUUUCUGAGAAAAUUUGAGAUUAAUUUGCAAUUAAAGAAUACACGUUGAUCAAAUGAUCCUGAAAUAUUUCAUAAUCUUUUCAAGUUGCUCUUUUUAAUUAAGAUAACACUGUAAUGAAUGAAAAUUCAGACUCACAUUUUCUGAUCGUGAUAGUGCUUGAAAAAUAUAAGGAUGUACUAUUAAUAUUAACCCUACUAGGCCCAGUCAAAUGACCGGUUUCAAAAUUUAAUUUAAAAUUGUAUAUUCAUUGUUAUUUCUUUUGUUCAUCUAACUUUAUGUAAAUUCGUACACUACCUGAUUAAUCAGUUUCUCAAUUUUUGUUAGUAUAAUAAUUUACAUGAAAUUGGAUGAACAAAAGAAAUAACAAUGAAUGUACAAUUUUUAAUUAAAUUCUAAAGUCGGUUAUUUGACCGGAUAAAGUUAGUGUUAAAUUAUGAAUAUGAUAAAAAUUCUCACAUUACAAUAGUUUAAUGAUUAAUUUUAAAAAUGAAUAAUUUUCUAUAUCUUCUCAUCAAAGAAUUUUUAAUAUAAAGAUUUAAAGAUGUUGAAAAUUUAUUAAAAUAUUUCUGAAGAAUAUUUAAAUAGAUGCCUUGGAAAGUGUUAACAGUGGAAAUCAUUAAACUUUCAUUGUAUACGUUAAUUUUGAACGAUUACUUAUAAAAAAUAUUAGUUUGUAAUAACUAUUUUCGAUUUUAAAAUAGCGCACUGUUUAUAUGACAUUACUUUUAAAAGAAUUAUUUCAGCUACUAUAAAUUUUCCAAAGUGCAAUUGAUUUUAUGUUUUAUUUUUGAUUGUCAAAGUUCCGAAAAUUUUGUUAAAUUAUCACACAUUACUAAAAUUCAUAGUCCAAAAUUAUACUAAUUUUUUCUGUACGAACGUAAGCAAUUGAAUUUACUUCUCAUUUAUGACAAUUUCUGGGAUUAUGGGAUGCUUUUAAAUAGAUUUUUCUUUAUACUUUAGUUUUACAUGUUGGCUCUUUUUGGGUCACAUGCAGUAUAUUUAUAUAAUAAAGAAUGUCACAUGUAUGUGUGUAAGAUAUCCUUCUCAAAAUGGGAGGAACAGUAAGUGGGACGAUAAAUUCGUGUAUAACAAUAUUCUAUUCACAACGAUGAUAUGAUAAAGUAGCAUCAAGAGGCAACAAUUUUCUUUUUCGUAAACGGUAUAACUUACAUUAUAUAUAUAUAUAUAUAUAUAUAAAAUAUAUAUAUAUAUAUAUAUAUAUUUUAUGAUAUAACAACACUGCGGAAAGCUUGAAAACACUCCAUUCAAUUAUGUUUAUUUUUCUUUCCUCAUCGUUUAUAGGCAUACUUAUAUUUAUAUAUGAAUAUAUGUAUAUAUGUAUGUAUGUACGUAUAUAUGUAAUAUAUUUAUAUGUAUACAUAUAUAUAUAUUACUCACUAACGUAAAUUAAUGUUAUGCUCUGCUACGUUAGAAAAUUUGAAUAAUAAUACUUUCCAUUGUCUGCACAUUAUUAUUACCUUUCUCUCGACCACGAAUACACAAUAAAUAAAUAUUCACUCAUUCAGUUAUCACGCGACUAUAAUUUCACAAAAAAAAAAAAAAAGAUAAUCGUACUAGCAGCAUUUGCAACCCUUAACGUUCCUGGUAAUAACCUUGGAAUAGUUAAGAAAAAGACUCUGUAACGUAGAAACCCAAACUUUGAUUUAAACAAUUAACAUAUGGAUUGUAUAUGAAUUAUAUAAAUAUAAAUUAAUAAUGCAAUAAUUUAACUGUAUGGAACUCUAUACACGCAGAUUCUCCUUUUUUCAACUAUUCUCACGUGUUGUACAAAAAUGCACUUUUACUCGCAUUGUGUUUGUAAGACACAUAAAUUCUGUCGAUUGCUUUAUUUCUUUCUUCCAAUUGUGAACCCCAACCUAACCCCAAUUUCACGUUUCACAUUUCUGAGAAAUGUAACUAUAUAUCUUUAAAAUUACAAUAAAUCGUCCUAAAUAUUCUCGAGUAUCUUUCGAUAUGAUACCUCUUACGCUUAAACUGAGUAACCCAACUCCGUUUUGAUAGUGUAAUAAGAUUUCUGGUAAUGUAAAACACAUACAUUUUUUACGCUAUCCUAUCGUAGUGUAUCUUUUCGUUGAGAUCAGCAGUGUACUCUUUUACUUUCGCUAACUUUGUGUGAACCAUGGGAGUACCAUCGUAGAUUUACAAAACAUUGGAAAGUGAACGUGAUUCGUUAUUAUUUUGUUUCACUAUAAACUAUCUCGUUGAUGUUAGACAAAUUUCAGAAAACGAUUCAGCAGUUAAAUUUGAUAUUAUAACACUGGUUAUAUUUAGAAUUGAAUUCAAUUGUGUUAGUAUUCAAAUGUGUGUUGUGUGAAUUCAAAUAUGUAGAAUUGAAUUGUGUUGAUUGUUCUUUGUUGUGUUGCUCGGUCAUUCUUGCAUUUGCGUCUCGCACGAUUGUAUAAAGAGUCGAUGUAAGAAAACUAAUUAACGUGAUUGAUUAUAUUAAUGUAAAACUGAAAGAGGUGACUCAGCCGAUGUAUGGAACGUUUCUUUUUAGGCUCCUUUUUUCUAGUGCUUUUGUUCCUCCUUAACGCGUAGCCAUAUCAAGAAUAACGUACACAUUUUCCACAUGUUAUUUGUUGCGUUAUUUUACAGUUGAUAAUAUGACGGGGGGUGAAAGAUACAUAAUCCUCCUACACAAACAUUAUAAUUAUGUAUUGUCACUCGGACAAAAGUGGUAC